CCUGACUGCUAUCGGAUUGAUACUAAGCCAUGCGAGUCUUUGCAGUAAUGCAAGGCAUACGGCUCAGUAACACGUAGUCAACUUACCCUAUGGACGAGGAUAAUCUCGGGAAACUGAGCAUAAUACUCGAUAGAUCAUAAUGCCUGGAAUGGUUUAUGGUUGAAAUGAUUCGUCGCCAUAGGAUGGGACUGCGGCCUAUCAGCUUGUUGGUGAGGUAAUGGCCCACCAAGGCGAUUACAGGUACGGGCUCUGAGAGGAGAAGCCCGGAGAUGGGUACUGAGACAAGGACCCAGGCCCUAUGGGGCGCAGCAGGCGAGAAAACUUUGCAAUGUGCGAAAGCACGACAAGGUUAAUCCGAGUGAUUUCUGCUAAAGAAAUCUUUUGCAAGUCAUAAAACCACUAGUGAAUAAGGGGUGGGCAAGUUCUGGUGUCAGCCGCCGCGGUAAAACCAGCACCUCAAGUGGUCAGGAGGAUUAUUGGGCCUAAAGCAUCCGUAGCCGGCUCUGUAAGUUUUCGGUUAAAUCCAUGUGCUCAACGCAUGGGCUGCCGAAAAUACUGCAGUGCUAGGAAGUGGGAGAGGUAGACGGUACUUGAUAGGAAGGGGUAAAAUCCUUUGAUCUAUCGAUGACCACCUGUGGCGAAGGCGGUCUACCAGAACACGCUCGACGGUGAGGGAUGAAAGCUGGGGGAGCAAACCGGAUUAGAUACCCGGGUAGUCCCAGCUGUAAACGAUGCAGACUCGAUGAUGCAUUGGCAUAUAGCCAGUGCAGUGUCGCAGGGAAGCCGUUAAGUCUGCCGCCUGGGAAGUACGUACGCAAGUAUGAAACUUAAAGGAAUUGGCGGGGGAGCAAAAGAAGGGGUGAAGCCUGCGGUUC
This 875-nucleotide ribosomal RNA is filed under the name uncultured archaeon. RNAcentral's name for it is "bacterial SSU rRNA". It matches the Rfam family "Archaeal small subunit ribosomal RNA", at positions 21 to 903 of the family's 1478-position model. The record is from RNAcentral.